AAGUCGUAACAAGGUUUCCGUAGGUGAACCUGCGGAAGGAUCAUUAUUGAAUUGUUUGUUUGAAUUGGCUUAAAACCCCAAUUCAGCAUCCAUAUCCAUAACACCUGUGCACUGUUGGAUGACCUUUGCUCUUCGGAGUGCUGGAAGUCCACUUUUACACUAAACAAUUUGUAACAAAUGUAGUCUUAUUAUAACAAUAAUAAAACUUUCAACAACGGAUCUCUUGGUUCUC
RNAcentral lists this unclassified non-coding RNA (232 nucleotides) under fungal sp. Its description in RNAcentral is "partial internal transcribed spacer region". The stretch from base 1 to 46 matches the Rfam family "Eukaryotic small subunit ribosomal RNA", at positions 1786 to 1831 of the family's 1831-position model. Lineage: Eukaryota; Fungi. RNAcentral also lists the same sequence under 1 other name. The record is from RNAcentral.